Non-coding RNA from Pelobates cultripes (western spadefoot toad), 75 nucleotides. The record is from the annotation of a GenBank genome assembly. NCBI's taxonomy places the organism in Eukaryota, Metazoa, Chordata, Amphibia, Anura, Pelobatidae.
CAUAUCAACUUUCAAUGCCAUUUACUGCACCUACCAUGGUGACCACGGGUAACGGGGAAUCAGGGUUCGAUUCCA